RNAcentral lists this long non-coding RNA (1397 nucleotides) under Parus major (Great Tit). RNAcentral's name for it is "lncRNA (ENSPMJG00000010733.1)". Lineage: Eukaryota; Metazoa; Chordata; Aves; Passeriformes; Paridae. The record is from RNAcentral.
GCCGACACCAACCGCGGUUACUGAAGGACUCUCCUCAUUUGUCGCAAUGCUCUGGCUGGGCAAGAAAGCAUGAUUUCAGACAGCUGGAAUGGCAGAGACCUGAGGGGAUGGGGAGUAUUUGCUUUAAUACAUCUAAUUUAUCAUCUUCUGCCCACAGCUGCAGGAGAGGGAGAGAGAGAUACUGAACAGAUCAGUCCAGAAGCGUAAUGAAACGUGGCAGAUGAACUGGGACACGACACAGUUUGCUGUUCCCACAGACUGGAGACUGUGUGGAAACAAGCUGUUUCCAAGGGCUCCAGUUUGGAAACUGUCUCCAGUCUCUCCCCAAAACUCUGGCUCAAUAGGAAUGUGAGGAAACCAGGGGGCAGCAGGGAAAGGAGAGAGAUUUUGCUUCUUUCAAAUUUGUGAUUUCUAUCGCAGCUUUAUUUUGGGAAGCACAAGAACAGGGCAUCCUUGUGGCACUCAAGUUACCAGAAAAAAUAACCAACAGCAAGUUUUGUCAAGCAAAUGAGGUCCCCUGAGCAGAACUUGUGAGCUGCUUGGCUGUGUUUAUUCAGAAAGCUGCCUGUUCUUUCAGGGGAGGGGGGAGAAAGUCCAAAAGGCCACUGUGCUAAGUUAGUUUGUAAAUGGUCCAGGACAGCUGCAAUAAGAGGCCAGUCAACAUCCAGGACAAAGAAUUAAACAAAAAAGCAGAACACCACAACCAGAAAUCUUUUUACCAAGUAUUUGUUCUUUCCAUGACUACAGAAAAAAAUGUCUCUAAGAACUUCCCCAAAAAUCAAUACUUUUCUGAUGGGAACUGUCCUGACCAUCUGUGCCAACUGGCCACAAGAUGACACUGAAUCACUUGGUGCUGCUUUCAGUGACUAUGUCUCUUAAGGUCUUUCAGGCCCCCAAAGAUGACUGACUCAAGCUCCCAGCCAUCUAGUCCUGUGCAGGGGUGCUGAGGAACAAUUUUUAAAAUGUAUAAUGGACACAGAUGUUUCCCAUCUGCCAACUAUGCCAUAAGGAACAACAUCCCACAGCUGAGGCCAACUGAAACGCUUCCCACACGCCCCAGAGCCGUGCCCAGCUGCAGUCCCACCCAGCAGGAGCCUGUGAUGGAAACUGUCAACAGCACCAAGAAGCCAGAAAAGAGAUGGGGAAUUUACUUCGCAGCAUUUGGGAUUUUGCAAGAGUUCUCAUGAAUUGAACGCAAAUUUUCUCCUACUGGUUCGUGACCCAAGCAUUGUAAGGAAAACAAUGGCUGUCACUGGUGCCAGUGUGUGUUCCUGGUCCAUAACCUGAAUGUCAAAACAGCAGAGUUAUGGGAUAAAAGGCAAAAUGGCACAGCCGACUGAAAUUUCCUAAAGGGCAAUAGACAAAAGUAUGAGAAUAAAAGAAGACUUUCUUCAGCA